UGGAUUGGACUCUGCCUUCCAACUGUUGGAGAUGGAGGAUGACGACUGAUGAGGCCCAGACUCAGUAACUCCAGUGACCCACGCUGAACCCAGGGUAAAACUCCAGGUAGCAGGGUGGAUAGAAGCCUCCCCCACCUCAUCUGAAGGGGCCUCCACAGUGGCUGAGAUCCUUCUUAAGGACGUCAUUCUCCACUUUGGUCUACCGAGAAGGAUACAGUCUGACAAUGGGCCUUGCUUUCAUCUCAGCAGUCACCCAACAGGUCUCCAAAGCUUUAGGUAUUACUUGGAAACUCAACAUACCAUACCACCCCCAGUCCUCAGGUAAGGUUGAAAGGGCCAAUGGCCUCAUAAAAGACCAUCUCACUAAACUCUCCAUAGAGACUCGGCUUUCUUGGCCUCAACUCCUACCUAUAGCACUCACCUGACUCCGAGCCGCUCCCCGAGGACCCACAGGCCCCAGCCUAUUUGAACUCCUAUACAGGCGACCCUUUCUGUUACCCCAACCCCUACCAAAAGAUCCUCCUCCUUUGGCUGCCUAUCUCCCUUACCUCAGCCUGCUCCGACACCUGAUUUGACAGUACGCUGACCUUAUUCUACCAGCUCCCACCGAUCUCUCUUCCCCUUCACUAUCCGUAAACCUAGGAGACUCAGUGCUCCUUCGAGUAAGACAAAAACCAACCCUUGCCCCCCGAUAGGAGGGUCCCUACACAGUCAUACUCACAACCCCCACGGCUGCUAAAUUAUUGCGCCACACCCUGUGGGUUCACACCUCCGACCUCAAGCAGGCCCCCCUUUACCCCCCAUACCAGAAGAGUCGUGGACCUCCCAACCAACCAGCUCCCUCACCCUCAAACUAACCUGACAGGCCCCUUCAUGACUGACCCUUCCCCUUGGUUUUCCACCUUCACACUCACAAUAUUACAUGAGCUACAACUCUCCCACUCAUCUGACCCCAUCACCCUCCCCUUAUUUCUCUCCUGGGUCUCGACUGUUGGCUUCAGGGAACUCUCUCCGAUUUCUCCCCCAUCGAAAUCUCCUUCUUUACCUUUUUGCUAACGAUACUUAUAUAUCAUGAUGAUACUUCCCUUGUUACUCCUUAUCAUCCCCCUUAUACCCUCACAACCCUCCUAUAGGUGGGUUUUUUACCUAUCCGAAACUUUUAAUGGACACACCUCUAUCAUAUCCUCUACCCCUUGCCCCAUUGUUGGGUGCCAAAAUCCAGUCACCUUUAAAUUCCCCUCUUUCAACACCCUCCAAGCCUCCACACAGAUUACUCCCGCCAUUUGCUUUUUAUAUGACCAAACCAAGAUAUGCUCCCAAACCUCCCCCAACCAAUAUGGAGGAUACCCCUAUCACUAUUGUAAUAUACACUGGCUCAACCUAUACUGUUUCACAGGACCAAGGACGGGCCACUUCUGCUUAAAAAAUGGCAACUUUACCCUUACUAUCCCUGAUCCAUGGGAUACCCGCUAGCAAACCGGAAUAAAGGCAAACUGUAUCAGAACAACCAUUUCUCUAACCCCAUCUCCUCUUUAACCAUCUAUCGAACCUAUGAGUCCUCAAUGUCUCCUUCCCUCUCCAACCUUAAAGAUCUUACCCAAGUAAUCAUGGACCAAGAAGACCAGCUCAACACACAACUACAGACACCCCCUGCACAACAUCCCUUCUCAUGGCUUACAUUCAUCAGACAAGGAGCGAUCCUGCUUAACCACUCAGGCUUAACCAACCUGUCACACUGCUUUCUUUGUGCAUCCUUUCAGCGGGAUCCAGUAAUAGCUGUCCCAUUACCCACACCCUUUCCCAACACCACUAACUCCAUCAACCACUCCAGAAGUCAAAUCUCCCUACAGGUUCCCAUCCUCACUGAGACCCCUCAAGGCAACAUGUCUCACCCAAUAUGCUACUCCUCUCAUGCCUCCCUAACUUGCCCCUCCCCCCUGCCUAUGCCUAGCCACGACCCUCCCCCAGGGGGAUUCUAUUGGUGUAAUGGAACAGCUUAUAAACAAAUGCCAAAAAAUGCUUUUGUCUGUCUCCCAGUCACCAUUAUCCCCCAACUCACCCUAUACGGACAGGAAGAACACCAUCAACUCCUCGAAUUCCAUCUCCAAAAACGAGCCGUUUUCCUCCCACUAAUGGUCGGACUAUCCCUUGCCACAUCCCUAUUGGCCGCCGGGGUUGGGACCGACUCCCUCGCACACUCUAUUACCUCCUCCAGGGACCUGUCAGACUCCAAAUUGCAAUAGAAGCCUCAGCAACCUCCCUAUCCACCUUACAAAGGCAGAUCAACUCCCUAGCACAGGUCACUCUACAAAACCGAUGAGCCCUAGAUCUCCUGACAGCAGAAAAAGGGGGAACAUGCCUGUUCCUGAGGGAAGAAUGUUGCUACUACAUCAAUGAAUCAGGCUUAGUUGAAACCAAUAUAGAACACCUAAAGGAAAUCCAAAAAACUCUAUCCACCCGCCCAGGAUCCUCAGACCCCCUAACCUCCUGGUGGCAGUCACCCCUCUUAACUUGGCUCCUCCCCACAGUCACCCCACUAGUUGCUAUCUGUAUAAUACUUAUGCUCUUACCUUGUUUUCUCUGUUUCAUACGGACAUGAAUUCAUGAAGUUUCCCAGUUCGCAUUUCAUCAAAUGGUGGUCCGGCCCUAUUCCCGCAUUCCAACCUCAGAUCCCACAUACUAUGGCAUCACCCUUACACCCGCAAGAAGCAGCCAGAUCAGAUCCGUCACCCAUUAUCAUCCAUAAGAGGUUGGAAUGUUAGGAUGUCCCUGGAAGGGGACAACCAUCUUGCCAGUGUGCUGGAAGAAACCUCGCCAGCGCGUGGGAAGAAACUGAAGGGCAACCAAUCACCAAGCGCCAGCACAACCCAACAGAGAGCCCCGAGCAGUGCGCCAGAAGAAACUGAAGGUCAACCAAUCACCGAGCAACAGCACAAUCUGGCACGAAAGAAAGACCCACCCGAACCUAAACCCGGAACUGCUGCAGCUUAAAAACCCUACCCCACCUUACCUGGGUAUGACUUUCCUGACUCCUCUCACUCCCUGAGUCACGGAACCUUACCCAGAACCUUUGUUCCCAAUAAAGCCUUAAACUGUAAAAAAUU
Long non-coding RNA from Felis catus (domestic cat), 3104 nucleotides. RefSeq lists it as uncharacterized. NCBI's taxonomy places the organism in Eukaryota, Metazoa, Chordata, Mammalia, Carnivora, Felidae. The transcript has 2 exons. The record is from RefSeq and is a predicted model, not a curated record.